CCUCAAAAUCCAUAGGCAUGAUAAAAUGUUUGUUUUAGGCCAUCAUCUGGGGCAGUAUGCCACCACCUCUCUGCGGUCCUUUACUACCAUCUGGACUCCCUGGGUACAUUCAGGAGUGUCAGCAUGUCAUUGUGACCUUUACUUGGAAUUACAAAAUGUCUGCUUCAGCAGCCCCUGGUGACACUGUUCUAAGCAUCUUACAUAUGUGUAGCCACAGUCAGUGAAUAUUGUGCAAAGAGAUUUGCCAAAAACGGUUUUGCCAAGUAGGUUCCAGUUCGGACAGCUGAGGUGGCAGCUUGUGCUUGCAGAACAGUCUCUAUAAAAGUGGAGCCCACAUGCCUUGGUCCCGUCCUUCUUCAAAAUUCCUCAAGUAGUUGUCUGCUUUGAGCCUGCCACCGUCUUCAUCUGGUAACACACGAGGUAAGAGUGAUUUAUUACUGCACUCUAAACAACAAAGGGAUCUCUACUGCUAAGUCCUAAAGAGCUACCAUUUUAUUUCCUGGUUUAGUGAUGGGAAUAAGGUA
Felis catus (domestic cat) is the source of this 524-nucleotide long non-coding RNA. RefSeq lists it as uncharacterized. NCBI's taxonomy places the organism in Eukaryota, Metazoa, Chordata, Mammalia, Carnivora, Felidae. The record is from RefSeq and is a predicted model, not a curated record. The transcript is spliced from 4 exons.